AGAGUAAUAGCUCAGUGGUAGAGUGCAUGCUUAGCAUGCCUGAGGUCCUCGGUUCAACCCCCAGUACCUCCA
Molecule: transfer RNA, 72 nt
Organism: Camelus ferus (Wild Bactrian camel)
Lineage: Eukaryota; Metazoa; Chordata; Mammalia; Artiodactyla; Camelidae
Rfam family: tRNA
About the family: Transfer RNA (tRNA) molecules are approximately 80 nucleotides in length. Their secondary structure includes four short double-helical elements and three loops (D, anti-codon, and T loops).
Source: Rfam